Molecule: unclassified non-coding RNA, 378 nt
Filed under: plant metagenome
Description: partial contains 5.8S ribosomal RNA, internal transcribed spacer 2, and large subunit ribosomal RNA
Rfam family: 5.8S ribosomal RNA (bases 1-105)
Source: RNAcentral
GAAAUGCGAUAAGUAAUGUGAAUUGCAGAAUUCAGUGAAUCAUCGAAUCUUUGAACGCACCUUGCGCUCCUUGGUAUUCCUUGGAGCAUGCCUGUUUGAGUAUCAUGAAAUCUUCAAAGUAAAUCUUUUGUUAACUCAAUUGGUUUCUACUUUGGUAUUGGAGGUCUUUGCAGCUUCACACCUGCUCCUCUUUGUUCAUUAGCUGGAUCUCAGUGUUAUGCUUGGUUCCACUCGGCGUGAUAAGUUAUCUAUCGCUGAGGACACUGUAAAAGGUGGCCAAGGUAAAUGCAGAUGAACCGCUUCUAAUAGUCCAUUGACUUGGACAAUACUUUUAUGAUCUGAUCUCAAAUCAGGUAUGACUACCCGCUGACCUUAAGC